This 905-nucleotide ribosomal RNA is filed under the name Staphylococcus aureus. RNAcentral describes it as "bacterial SSU rRNA". It matches the Rfam family "Bacterial small subunit ribosomal RNA", at positions 32 to 918 of the family's 1533-position model. Lineage: Bacteria; Bacillati; Bacillota; Bacilli; Caryophanales; Staphylococcaceae. The record is from RNAcentral.
AACGCUGGCGGCGUGCCUAAUACAUGCAAGUCGAGCGAACGGACGAGAAGCUUGCUUCUCUGAUGUUAGCGGCGGACGGGUGAGUAACACGUGGAUAACCUACCUAUAAGACUGGGAUAACUUCGGGAAACCGGAGCUAAUACCGGAUAAUAUUUUGAACCGCAUGGUUCAAAAGUGAAAGACGGUCUUGCUGUCACUUAUAGAUGGAUCCGCGCUGCAUUAGCUAGUUGGUAAGGUAACGGCUUACCAAGGCAACGAUGCAUAGCCGACCUGAGAGGGUGAUCGGCCACACUGGAACUGAGACACGGUCCAGACUCCUACGGGAGGCAGCAGUAGGGAAUCUUCCGCAAUGGGCGAAAGCCUGACGGAGCAACGCCGCGUGAGUGAUGAAGGUCUUCGGAUCGUAAAACUCUGUUAUUAGGGAAGAACAUAUGUGUAAGUAACUGUGCACAUCUUGACGGUACCUAAUCAGAAAGCCACGGCUAACUACGUGCCAGCAGCCGCGGUAAUACGUAGGUGGCAAGCGUUAUCCGGAAUUAUUGGGCGUAAAGCGCGCGUAGGCGGUUUUUUAAGUCUGAUGUGAAAGCCCACGGCUCAACCGUGGAGGGUCAUUGGAAACUGGAAAACUUGAGUGCAGAAGAGGAAAGUGGAAUUCCAUGUGUAGCGGUGAAAUGCGCAGAGAUAUGGAGGAACACCAGUGGCGAAGGCGACUUUCUGGUCUGUAACUGACGCUGAUGUGCGAAAGCGUGGGGAUCAAACAGGAUUAGAUACCCUGGUAGUCCACGCCGUAAACGAUGAGUGCUAAGUGUUAGGGGGUUUCCGCCCCUUAGUGCUGCAGCUAACGCAUUAAGCACUCCGCCUGGGGAGUACGACCGCAAGGUUGAAACUCAAAGGAAUUGACGGGG